CGUAGGUGGCAAGCGUUGUCCGGAUUUACUGGGCGUAAAGCGAACGCAGGCGGACCUUUAAGUAGGAGGUGAAAGGUUGGAGCUCAACUCUAACACUGCUCCCUAUACUGGAGGUCUUGAGUGCCGGAGAGGAAGACGGAACAAGUUGUGUAGCGGUGAAAUGCGUUGAUAUAACUUGGAACACCAAUGGCGAAAGCAGUCUUCUGGACGGAUACUGACGCUCAGGUUCGAAAGCCAAGGUAGCAAACAGGAUUAGAUACCCUGGUAGUCUUGGCCUUAAACGAUGUUCACUAGGUGUUGGGGGGUAACCCUCGGUGCCGCAGCUAACGCAUUAAGUGAACCGCCUGGGGACUACGGCCGCAAGGUUG
RNAcentral lists this ribosomal RNA (368 nucleotides) under uncultured organism. RNAcentral describes it as "bacterial SSU rRNA". It matches the Rfam family "Bacterial small subunit ribosomal RNA", at positions 526 to 896 of the family's 1533-position model. The record is from RNAcentral.